RNAcentral lists this ribosomal RNA (254 nucleotides) under uncultured bacterium. Its description in RNAcentral is "partial 16S ribosomal RNA". It matches the Rfam family "Bacterial small subunit ribosomal RNA", at positions 524 to 776 of the family's 1533-position model. The record is from RNAcentral.
UACAGAGGUGGCAAGCGUUGUUCGGAAUUACUGGGCGUAAAGGGCGCGUAGGCGGUCUUUUAAGUCUUGUGUGAAAUCCCUCGGCUCAACUGAGGAGCUGCACGGGAUACUGGAAGACUUGAGUUCGGGAGAGGGAAGCGGAAUUCCGGGUGUAGCGGUGAAAUGCGUAGAUAUCCGGAGGAACACCGGUGGCGAAGGCGGCUUCCUGGACCGAUUACUGACGCUGAGGCGCGAAAGCCAGGGGAGCAAACGGG